UCCAUGGCCUACCACUUUGUUUGAGAUGACAUGGCUGUGAAUAACUCUGCCAAAUGUCUUCUCAAAUCCCAUUAAGAGAAAGAACAUACUGAGACCCCAGUGAAGCUGCAGAACCUACGGGGUAGCCAAUCUUCCUUCAGAACACCAAGAAAGUAGCCCAUCGCAAAUGGGAGGUGGCUGAAUGUAGUGAAGUCUGCGUUCCACUUGAGUGAGAGUGUGAGUUGGUCAUUAUUAAAAUUGUGCACACUGGCUGCCAACACAAAUGACCUCUGCUUUGAGAAUUCUCUGAGACCCAUUACCUGAAUGAGUACAAGUAAUCCAUCAAAGAAUAGAGUGGCCAUGAAGCCAACUUAAGGAAGAUAGGGUCCCAGGAGUAUGGCAUGGUGGCAUAGCUUUUAGACAAGUGUGUCCUAGGAGACAGUGCAUGUGAGAGC
RNAcentral lists this long non-coding RNA (434 nucleotides) under Homo sapiens (human). RNAcentral's name for it is "non-protein coding lnc-CSMD2-2:1". Lineage: Eukaryota; Metazoa; Chordata; Mammalia; Primates; Hominidae. The record is from RNAcentral.